This 434-nucleotide ribosomal RNA is filed under the name uncultured bacterium. RNAcentral's name for it is "bacterial SSU rRNA". It matches the Rfam family "Bacterial small subunit ribosomal RNA", at positions 335 to 784 of the family's 1533-position model. The record is from RNAcentral.
ACUCCUACGGGAGGCAGCAGUGGGGAAUAUUGCACAAUGGGCGCAAGCCUGAUGCAGCAACGCCGUGUGAGUGAAGAAGGUUUUCGGAUCGUAAAACUCUGUCCUAAGGGAAGAAACAAAUGACGGUACCUUAGGAGGAAGCCCCGGCUAACUACGUGCCAGCAGCCGCGGUAAUACGUAGGGGGCAAGCGUUAUCCGGAAUCACUGGGCGUAAAGGGUGCGUAGGCGGCUUAGCAAGCCAGGGGUGAAAGGCAUUGGCUCAACCAAUGUAAGCCUUUGGAACUGUUAAGCUUGAGUGCAGGAGAGGUAAGUGGAAUUCCUAGUGUAGAGGUGAAAUUCGUAGAUAUUAGGAGGAACACCAGUGGCGAAGGCGACUUACUGGACUGUAACUGACGCUGAUGCACGAAAGCGUGGGUAGCGAACAGGAUUAGAUA